This 495-nucleotide ribosomal RNA is filed under the name uncultured bacterium. RNAcentral describes it as "partial 16S ribosomal RNA". It matches the Rfam family "Bacterial small subunit ribosomal RNA", at positions 28 to 507 of the family's 1533-position model. The record is from RNAcentral.
GACGAACGCUGGCGGCGUGCCUAAUACAUGCAAGUAGAACGCUGAAGGAGGAGCUUGCUUCUCCGGAUGAGUUGCGAACGGGUGAGUAACGCGUAGGUAACCUGCCUGGUAGCGGGGGAUAACGAUUGGAAACGAUAGCUAAUACCGCAUAAGAGUAGAUGUCGCAUGACAUUUGCUUAAAAGGUGCAAAUACACCACUACCAGACACACCUGCGUUGUAUUAGCUAGUUGGUGAGGUAACGGCUCACCAAGGCAACGAUACAUAGCCGACCUGAGAGGGUGAUCGGCCACACUGGGACUGAGACACGGCCCAGACUCCUACGGGAGGCAGCAGUAGGGAAUCUUCGGCAAUGGACGGAAGUCUGACCGAGCAACGCCGCGUGAGUGAAGAAGGUUUUCGGAUCGUAAAGCUCUGUUGUAAGAGAAGAACGAGUGUGAGAGUGGAAAGUUCACACUGUGACGGUAUCUUACCAGAAAGGGACGGCUAACUACGUG